This 253-nucleotide ribosomal RNA is filed under the name uncultured bacterium. Its description in RNAcentral is "partial 16S ribosomal RNA". It matches the Rfam family "Bacterial small subunit ribosomal RNA", at positions 524 to 776 of the family's 1533-position model. The record is from RNAcentral.
UACGUAGGGAGCAAGCGUUGUCCGGAAUCAUUGGGCGUAAAGCGCGCGUAGGCGGCCCUGUAAGUCCGUUGUGAAAGUCAAAGGCUCAACCUUUGAAAGCCGAUGGAUACUGCAGGGCUAGAGUCCGGAAGAGGCGAGUGGAAUUCCUGGUGUAGCGGUGGAAUGCGCAGAUAUCAGGAGGAACACCAGUGGCGAAGGCGGCUUUCUGGACGGUAACUGACGCUGAGACGCGAAAGCGUGGGGAGCAAACAGG